ACAUACGACCAUACCCACUGGAGAACUCGGGAUCCCGUCCGCUCUCCCAUAGAUAAGCCAGUGAGGGCCGGAUUAGUAGUCGGGUCGGUGACGACCAGCGAAUACCUGGUGUUGUAUGUU
This 120-nucleotide ribosomal RNA is filed under the name Colletotrichum orbiculare MAFF 240422. Lineage: Eukaryota; Fungi; Ascomycota; Sordariomycetes; Glomerellales; Glomerellaceae. The record is from RNAcentral.